This 485-nucleotide ribosomal RNA is filed under the name uncultured Actinomycetes bacterium. Its description in RNAcentral is "uncultured actinobacterium partial 16S ribosomal RNA". The record is from RNAcentral. Lineage: Bacteria; Bacillati; Actinomycetota; Actinomycetes.
CACGUAGUUGGCCGGGCCUUCUUCUGCAGGUACCGUCAAUAUCGUCCCUGCUGAAAGUGGUUUACAACCCGAAGGCAUUCAUCCCACACGCGGCGUCGCUGCAUCAGACUUUCGUCCAUUGUGCAAGAUUCCCUACUGCUGCCUCCCGUAGGAGUCUGGGCCGUGUCUCAGUCCCAGUGUGGCUGGACAUCCUCUCAGACCAGCUACCCGUCGAAGCCUUGGUGGGCCGUUACCCCGCCAACAAGCUGAUAGGCCGCGAGACCAUCCCGAAGCGGAAUCCAUUUCCUCACCGGACCAUGCGAUCCGGUGAGGACAUCCGGUAUUAGCACCGGUUUCCCGGAGUUAUCCCGGUCUUCGGGGCAGGUUCCUCACGUGUUACUCACCCGUUCGCCACUUUCCACCCGGAGCAAGCUCCGGGCUUCACGUUCGACUUGCAUGUAUGAGGCGCGCCGCCAGCGUCGUCUCGAGCCACGGAGUCAACCUAC